Molecule: ribosomal RNA, 229 nt
Filed under: uncultured bacterium
Lineage: Bacteria
Description: partial 16S ribosomal RNA
Rfam family: Bacterial small subunit ribosomal RNA
Source: RNAcentral
UGCGUAGGCGGAAUGAUAAGUUAGUGGUGAAAGCCCCCGGCUUAACCGGGGAAUUGCCAUUAAUACUGUCAUUCUUGAGUAUAGUUGAAGUGGGCGGAAUGUAUCAUGUAGCGGUGAAAUGCUUAGAUAUGAUACAGAACACCGAUAGCGUAGGCAGCUUGCUAAACUAUAACUGACGCUCAGGCACGAAAGCGUGGGGAGCAAACAGGAUUAGAUACGCUGGUAGUCC